Long non-coding RNA from Beta vulgaris subsp. vulgaris (sugar beet), 854 nucleotides. RefSeq lists it as uncharacterized. The transcript is spliced from 2 exons. The record is from RefSeq and is a predicted model, not a curated record. Lineage: Eukaryota; Viridiplantae; Streptophyta; Magnoliopsida; Caryophyllales; Amaranthaceae.
UAGAAAACCUAGCCCCUUGCAUUUUCCCCAAAUCGAUGUCAAGAUGUUCCUAGCCACCCAAUUUGCGAAGUCUUUUCUAAGUUUAUUCAUCAUCAUCUCCAUAAUACCAGUGUUUGUAGGAUGCAAUGGAGCCCAUUUAUCCAAAAUUUCCAUAAUUCAUACCAGAAGAUUUCCUCAAUUUGGGGUUAUAAACUCUCAAAAGAAAAGUUUGAGUUAUAAGAGAAAGAAUCGUUCUCACUCUGAAUUUCCCCAAAUAAAUUCAUCUUCUUCUUCAGUUAAGAUUUCGCUCUAUGUUGUUGAUGGUAUUAAAGAAUUUUUUUUCUUCCCUUCAAGUUCAAAGUGGGUUUCUUAGCUAGGGUUUUAAGGGUUUCGGGUUUCAUUGUAGUGGAUGCCUGGAUUUGGUUCUUCUCUGCUUUUCGCAUCUCGUUGCUGCUCAUCAAUGGUGCUCAAGUGGGUGUUGGUGUUUUUUUCUCAAAAGAUUUUAGGGUUUUGGUGAGUAGGAAGUCAUUGUAUUGUGACUUCCUUGUUCUUUCAGAACCCUAACUUCCCUUUUCUGGGGUCAAAGUGAGUGGGAAGUUGAAGUUACUUGUCUCCAUUGUUAUCUGACAAUGGAAGCUUGAAUUAGCUGCUAAGGUGGAUGUUUUCCACUUCUAGAUUUCGAGCUAAGAUGAGGUUGCAAAUUACAGCUCUGUUGCAUCUAUUAAGCAAGGCUUCCCGGUUACAUUUUGUCUUUUUUCUAAAGGCGCUCAUUUUCCCUAGUCGUACGUUCUUACAACAGCAUCUUCUACAAAAUUAUCAUGUUGAGUAUUUCUAUAUCACUAUACAGGUUGUCACUCACUCGAGUGCUUCCCAUA